UAUAUCGGAACGUACCCUGGAGUGGGGGAUAACGUAGCGAAAGCUACGCUAAUACCGCAUACGAUCCAAGGAUGAAAGCAGGGGACCGCAAGGCCUCGUGCUCCUGGAGCGGCCGAUAUCUGAUUAGCUAGUUGGUGGGGUAAAGGCCUACCAAGGCAUCGAUCAGUAGCUGGUCUGAGAGGACGACCAGCCACACUGGAACUGAGACACGGUCCAGACUCCUACGGGAGGCAGCAGUGGGGAAUUUUGGACAAUGGGCGCAAGCCUGAUCCAGCAAUGCCGCGUGAGUGAAGAAGGCCUUCGGGUUGUAAAGCUCUUUUGUCAGGGAAGAAACGGUGGGAGCUAAUAUCUUUCACUAAUGACGGUACCUGAAGAAUAAGCACCGGCUAACUACGUGCCAGCAGCCGCGGUAAUACGUAGGGUGCAAGCGUUAAUCGGAAUUACUGGGCGUAAAGCGUGCGCAGGCGGUUUUGUAAGUCUGUCGUGAAAUCCCCGGGCUCAACCUGGGAAUGGCGAUGGAGACUGCAAGGCUAGAAUCUGGC
Molecule: ribosomal RNA, 542 nt
Filed under: uncultured Massilia sp.
Lineage: Bacteria; Pseudomonadati; Pseudomonadota; Betaproteobacteria; Burkholderiales; Oxalobacteraceae
Description: bacterial SSU rRNA
Rfam family: Bacterial small subunit ribosomal RNA
Source: RNAcentral